UAGUUUUUUUAGAAAUAAAUUUAAUUUACAAGUUUUUGAUUUUUUAGUUAUUUGUUUAAUUGAGAAAUUUAAUAAUUUGAAUAUUCUAAGGGAUAAGCUUUGGAAUAAAUUGUCAAAAAUUAAUAGUGAAUAUUAUAAAAUGUAUGCUUAGAAUUAGCAAUCGUUAAAAAGUUUGUUAUAAAUUAUUUUAUAGUCAGUAUAUUAUUUAUUAGAUUUUGAUUAAUUUAUAAAAAUUUUUUUAUUAAUUUUUUAUAAAAAGUAAUAAUGGUAGAAUUAGUAUAUUUUUAUGUUUAGAUAAUUUAAUAUGAUAAGUUUAUGUAAAGAACUCGGCAAAUUUUUUACCCGCCUGUUUAACAAAAACAUGUCUUUUUGAGUUAUUUUUAAAGUCUGACCUGCCCACUGAAAUUAAUUAAAUGGCCGCAGUAUUCUAACUGUGCAAAGGUAGCAUAAUCAUUAGUCUUUUAAUUGAAG
RNAcentral lists this ribosomal RNA (471 nucleotides) under Bactrocera xanthodes. RNAcentral's name for it is "partial 16S ribosomal RNA". Lineage: Eukaryota; Metazoa; Arthropoda; Insecta; Diptera; Tephritidae. The record is from RNAcentral.